This 425-nucleotide ribosomal RNA is filed under the name uncultured bacterium. Its description in RNAcentral is "bacterial SSU rRNA". It matches the Rfam family "Bacterial small subunit ribosomal RNA", at positions 355 to 776 of the family's 1533-position model. The record is from RNAcentral.
UAGGGAAUAUUGGGCAAUGGACGGAAGUCUGACCCAGCCAUGCCGCGUGCAGGAAGAAGGUCCUCUGGAUUGUAAACUGCUUUAGAUCGGGAAGAAUAAGAAUCCUGCGGGGUUUGAUGACGGUACCGAUAGAAUAAGCACCGGCUAACUACGUGCCAGCAGCCGCGGUAAUACGUAGGGUGCGAGCGUUGUCCGGAUUUAUUGGGUUUAAAGGGUGCGUAGGCGGGGAGAUAAGUCAGCCUUUAAAGCCAGCCGCUUAACGGUUCGGUAGGGGGCUGAUACUGUUUUUCUUGAGAGGGCUCGGCGCUGGCGGAAUUUGUGGUGUAGCGGUGAAAUGCAUAGAUACCACAAGGAACACCAAUCGCGUAGGCAGCUAGCGAGGGCCUUUCUGACGCUGAGGCACGAAAGUGCGGGGAGCAAACAGG